AAGACCUUGCGCUUUUGGAGCGGCCGAUGCCUGAUUAGCUUGUUGGUAAGGUAAAAGCUUACCAAGGCUUCGAUCAGUAGCUGGUCUGAGAGGACGACCAGCCACACUGGGACUGAGACACGGCCCAGACUCCUACGGGAGGCAGCAGUGGGGAAUUUUGGACAAUGGGGGCAACCUUGAUCCAGCCAUGCCGCGUGAGUGAAGAAGGCCUUCGGGUUGUAAAGCUCUUUCAGCCGGAACGAAACGGUUACGGUUAAUACCCGUGACUACUGACGGUACCGGAAGAAGAAGCACCGGCUAACUACGUGCCAGCAGCCGCGGUAAUACGUAGGGUGCGAGCGUUAAUCGGAAUUACUGGGCGUAAAGCGUGCGCAGGUGGUUUUGUAAGUCAGAUGUGAAAGCCCCGGGCUCAACCUGGGAACU
Molecule: ribosomal RNA, 423 nt
Filed under: uncultured bacterium
Lineage: Bacteria
Description: bacterial SSU rRNA
Rfam family: Bacterial small subunit ribosomal RNA
Source: RNAcentral